RNAcentral lists this ribosomal RNA (492 nucleotides) under uncultured bacterium. RNAcentral describes it as "partial 16S ribosomal RNA". It matches the Rfam family "Bacterial small subunit ribosomal RNA", at positions 29 to 507 of the family's 1533-position model. The record is from RNAcentral.
AGUGAACGCUGGCGGUAGGCCUAACACAUGCAAGUCGAACGGCAGCACAGUAAGAGCUUGCUCUUACGGGUGGCGAGUGGCGGACGGGUGAGGAGUACAUCGGAAUCUACUUUUUCGUGGGGGAUAACGUAGGGAAACUUACGCUAAUACCGCAUACGACCUACGUGUGAAAGCAGGGGAUCUUCGGACCUUGCGCGAUUGAAUGACGCGAUGUCGGAUUAGCUAGUUGGCGGGGUAAAGGCCCACCAAGGCGACGAUCCGUAGCUGGUCUGAGAGGAUGAUCAGCCACACUGGAACUGAGACACGGUCCAGACUCCUACGGGAGGCAGCAGUGGGGAAUAUUGGACAAUGGGCGCAAGCCUGAUCCAGCCAUACCGCGUGGGUGAAGAAGGCCUUCGGGUUGUAAAGCCCUUUUGUUGGGAAAGAAAAGCAGCAGGUUAAUACCCCGCUGUUCUGACGGUACCCAAAGAAUAAGCACCGGCUAACUUCGUG